CCAGAGGGCCGGGCGGCCGCGUUGCACUUCGGUGCACCGAGGAAAGUCCGGGCUCCACGGAAACACGGUGCCGGGUAACGCCCGGCGGUUCCGGCUUCGGCCGGGGUCAGGGAAAGUGCCACAGAGAGCAGACCGCCCACCAUCCUUCGGGGUAGGGGCAAGGGUGAAAGGGUGCGGCAAGAGCGCACCGCGCGACCGGCAACGGAAGCGGCACGGCAAACCCCACCGGGAGCAAGAUCGAAUAGGGGCCGCUUAUGGGGUGUUCCGCCUCGCGGCCCGGGUUGAUUGCUUGAGCCUGCACGCAAGUGCAGGCCUAGAGGAAUGGCCGCCCAUCGCGUGCACCUCCCGCAAGGGAAAGGGCCGCGUGGACAGAACCCGGCUUACAGGCCCUCUGGCACU
This is a non-coding RNA of Sphingomonas koreensis, 399 nucleotides long. It matches the Rfam family "Bacterial RNase P class A". Rfam says of the family: Ribonuclease P (RNase P) is a ubiquitous endoribonuclease, found in archaea, bacteria and eukarya as well as chloroplasts and mitochondria. Its best characterised activity is the generation of mature 5'-ends of tRNAs by cleaving the 5'-leader elements of precursor-tRNAs. NCBI's taxonomy places the organism in Bacteria, Pseudomonadati, Pseudomonadota, Alphaproteobacteria, Sphingomonadales, Sphingomonadaceae. The record is from Rfam.